CAUGGGGUAACUCAGUCUAGUAGAGUGCUGUUUUUGGAAAACAGAAGCCGCUGGUGCGAAUCCAGUCUCCGUGA
Molecule: transfer RNA, 74 nt
Filed under: Deltaproteobacteria bacterium
Lineage: Bacteria; Pseudomonadati; Myxococcota; Myxococcia
Description: tRNA-Pro
Rfam family: tRNA
About the family: Transfer RNA (tRNA) molecules are approximately 80 nucleotides in length.
Source: RNAcentral